AUUGAACGCUGGCGGCAGGCCUAACACAUGCAAGUCGAGCGGUAACACAGGGAGCUGCUCCCGGGUGACGAGCGGCGGACGGGUGAGUAAUGUCUGGGAAACUGCCUGAUGGAGGGGGAUAACUACUGGAAACGGUGGCUAAUACCGCAUAACGUCGCAAGACCAAAGAGGGGGACCUUCGGGCCUCUUGCCAUCAGAUGUGCCCAGAUGGGAUUAGCUAGUAGGUGGGGCAAUGGCUCACCUAGGCGACGAUCCCUAGCUGGUCUGAGAGGAUGACCAGCCACACUGGAACUGAGACACGGUCCAGACUCCUACGGGAGGCAGCAGUGGGGAAUAUUGCACAAUGGGCGCAAGCCUGAUGCAGCCAUGCCGCGUGUAUGAAGAAGGCCUUCGGGUUGUAAAGUACUUUCAGCGGGGAGGAAGGUGUUGUGGUUAAUAACCACAGCAAUUGACGUUACCCGCAGAAGAAGCACCGGCUAACUCCGUGCCAGCAGCCGCCGCCG
Molecule: ribosomal RNA, 503 nt
Filed under: uncultured bacterium
Lineage: Bacteria
Description: partial 16S ribosomal RNA
Rfam family: Bacterial small subunit ribosomal RNA
Source: RNAcentral